RNAcentral lists this ribosomal RNA (448 nucleotides) under uncultured bacterium. RNAcentral's name for it is "bacterial SSU rRNA". It matches the Rfam family "Bacterial small subunit ribosomal RNA", at positions 330 to 795 of the family's 1533-position model. The record is from RNAcentral.
CCCAGACUCCUACGGGAGGCAGCAGUGGGGAAUAUUGCACAAUGGGGGAAACCCUGAUGCAGCGACGCCGCGUGAGCGAUGAAGUAUUUCGGUAUGUAAAGCUCUAUCAGCAGGGAAGAAAAUGACGGUACCUGACUAAGAAGCCCCGGCUAACUACGUGCCAGCAGCCGCGGUAAUACGUAGGGGGCAAGCGUUAUCCGGAUUUACUGGGUGUAAAGGGAGCGUAGACGGCAGUGCAAGUCUGGAGUGAAAGGCGGGGGCUCAACCCCCGGACUGCUCUGGAAACUGUACGGCUGGAGUGCAGGAGAGGUAAGUGGAAUUCCUAGUGUAGCGGUGAAAUGCGUAGAUAUUAGGAGGAACACCGGUGGCGAAAGCGGCUCUCUGGCCUGUAACUGACACUGAGACUCGAAAGCGUGGGGAGCAAACAGGAUUAGAUACCCCGGUAGUA